GAGAAAGUAUGCAAGAACUGCUAAUUCAUGCUUCCGCGUCUAACAAACACGGCUCUCUCA
This 60-nucleotide transfer RNA is filed under the name Equus asinus somalicus. Its description in RNAcentral is "tRNA-Ser". The record is from RNAcentral. Lineage: Eukaryota; Metazoa; Chordata; Mammalia; Perissodactyla; Equidae.